UGUAAACAUAUGGAGGAGGUGGUGAGGGGGAAGGUGGUGGUGGGGACUUGUAGACAUAUGGUGGUGGAGGUGAAGGAGAGGGAGGAGGUGGAGAGUUGUAGACAUAAGAAAGGGGUAGCGAUGCAUAUGGUGGUGGAGGAGAUUUGUAAACAUAUGGAGGCGGUGGUGAAGGAGAGGGAGGUGGAGGAGAUUUGUAGACAUACGGUGGAGGAGGUGAGGGAGAAGGAUGUGGUGGUGACUUGUGCACAUAAGGCGGAGGUGGUGAUGGGGAUGGUGGUGGUGGGGACUUGUAGAUGUAAGAAAGGGGUAGUGAUGCAGAUGGUGGAGGAGGAGACUUGUAGACAUAUGGAGGUGGUGGUGAAGGAGAGGGAGGUGGAGGAGAUUUGUAGACAUAUGGUGGAGGAAGUGAAGGAGAAGGAGGUGGUGGUGACUUGUAAAUAUAAGGUGGAGGUGGUGAUGGGGAUGGUGGUGGUGGGGACUUGUAGAUGUAAGAAAGGGGUAGUGAUGCAGAUGGUGGAGGAGGAGACUUAUAGACAUACUUAGGUUGUGGUGAUGGAGAGGGAG
Molecule: long non-coding RNA, 564 nt
Filed under: Medicago truncatula (barrel medic)
Lineage: Eukaryota; Viridiplantae; Streptophyta; Magnoliopsida; Fabales; Fabaceae
Description: long non-coding RNA (MTRU_LNC000013)
Source: RNAcentral